UGCUAGAUUAGCAGAUGGAAUGUGUUUGAUUUAGGUUCAAAAGGAAAGGGGUUACCCUUAUUUAGUAGC
RNAcentral lists this transfer RNA (69 nucleotides) under Mactra sp. WB-F. RNAcentral's name for it is "tRNA-Leu". It matches the Rfam family "tRNA". From Rfam's summary of the family: Transfer RNA (tRNA) molecules are approximately 80 nucleotides in length. Their secondary structure includes four short double-helical elements and three loops (D, anti-codon, and T loops). Lineage: Eukaryota; Metazoa; Mollusca; Bivalvia; Venerida; Mactridae. The record is from RNAcentral.